Molecule: ribosomal RNA, 253 nt
Filed under: uncultured bacterium
Lineage: Bacteria
Description: partial 16S ribosomal RNA
Rfam family: Bacterial small subunit ribosomal RNA
Source: RNAcentral
UACAGAGGGUGCGAGCGUUAAUCGGAAUUACUGGGCGUAAAGCGUGCGUAGACGGUUAUUUAAGUCGGGUGUGAAAGCCCCGGGCUCAACCUGGGAAUUGCAUUCGAGACUGAAUAGCUAGGGUACGGUAGAGGGAAGCGGAAUUUCCGGUGUAGCGGUGAAAUGCGUAGAUAUCGGGAGGAACACCAGUGGCGAAGGCGACUUCCUGGCCUGUUCUUGACGCUGAGGCGCGAAAGCUAGGGUAGCAAACGGG